Molecule: long non-coding RNA, 1328 nt
Organism: Astatotilapia calliptera (eastern happy)
Lineage: Eukaryota; Metazoa; Chordata; Actinopteri; Cichliformes; Cichlidae
Source: Ensembl
AUUUAUUUAUGGUGAAACAGUGGUGGAAUAUCGCUGUUGCUUUCGUAUGAAUGAAGCGGACAUACCUGCGUGGCCGCGAUCUAAUCCUGUUUACGCUUACGGCUCUGUUGCUAUGACAGCAAGUCCCGGAUGAGCUUCGGGGAACCGAACGAUCCAAGAUCAGGCGAAAUCGUCAACAAUCAAAUCCAGCUAACUUACUUAGCGAGGUACGAAGAACAGGCCCCUGCUCUACUUUAAUCCUCAAUCUGAAAGACUUGAGAUGCUAAAAUGUAAAUAAAAAGAUGACUUUUUUUCAAAUCUCACAAACCCUUAUUUUAUUAUUAUAACAGAAACCGCAUUGGACAUGUUAGCAUUGUGAUCUGAGAAAAUGAAGCAUUUUAAGAAGAAGAAUGCCUCCUUUUGAAUUUAAUGGCAGCAAUAUUAUCUCAAUCGUUUGGUUAGCUUACCGCUGUGUAGCAUCCCUUUUUUAUUCUGCAUGUCUGGAAACAUGUUGAAGACCAGCUGCUGGGCUUUUUGCCUCGGUGAGAGAAGAUGGUGGUGUUUCUGGAUCAUUUUUACACAUGACUCCUUUGCAUGACAGAGCUUUAACCUGCAUUUGUGGGUGGAAUCACUGAACACUGAAGCCCUGAGCCCACGCAGAGAUUUCCCUGAUGGAGUCAGGCCUGUUUUUAAUGAAUUGUUGUCUGUGGGCCAGAAGAGCAGACAUCCAAUAUUGGUUUUUGACCUUGUUCCUUUUGAUAUUAUGUUCUGUAGACGAUAUUCAGUCUUUAAAAUUUUAGACUGAGGAAUUUUAUUCUAAAAUUAUUCCACAAUUUGUACACAUUUUGGUGAACGUCCCUGCCAUCUUUACUUCUGAGAAGCUUUGGACUUUUUUUUUUUUUUAACCGUUUAAGAGAAGCAAUCAUGUUACUUACAUGUUCCCAAAGAAAUUUUUGAACAGACAAAACACUUACCAGCCUUUUGUUGCCACUGUCUCCAAAUUCAUUUGUUUUGAAGUACUAAUACCUCAAACUCAAAGUGAGCUUAUAUUUCGCUUAAAAUGGGAAAUUUUUCUCAGUUUAAACAUUAAAUAUUUUCCACAUUGUUGUAAAUAAAAUAUGGGUUCAAACUUUGCAGAUGGAUGCCUUGUUUGUAUUUAUUUUUCCACGAUGUUCCUCCUUUUGUUUGGAUUGUAAACUUCAUGCCUCACUUGGGUUAAUUUUUAUCAUUUACUACAAAACGUUCCUCCUUUUUCUGCCAUGUGUGAUGUUUAACCAGAGGACUGGUCUUGAGUCCUCCCCCAGUAGACUCCAAAUCCAAAUAGAGUCAGAGAGGGUUUAACAGAGCAC